UCACGUUCUAAGUGCUUUUUCAACCGAACUUGGAACUAAAGAGUCUCAAUUUCUGCAGAUCUGUGGCCCAAGGCAUUUGCUAUGGCACGUAUUACAGUUGCUCAUGUCAUUCUCAUGGUAACGUUUUUCCUGUAUAAGACACUAUUUUCCACUAGCCUGGAAAGUGGACAACCAGAUGUAGUGGAUGGUCUUGGAGCACAUAAUGUUCUGUGGCUUACCAAGCAUGGGUCAAGAGUUAUCUUGUCCUGGAACAAUAACCUGACAAAAGAAGAAACUGAGAAGUACACUGUGAAGUACAUUUUGAGUUAUAAAUUCUUCAAUACAACUCAUGAAAAGAAAUAUAUAUUCAGAAUUUUUCAUGCAUCAUAUAUAAUAUUUCUUUCUUCAAUUGCACCUGGCUUAUUAAAGCAGAAGCUCCUGAAGAUAUUCAGAUCUUUUUUUCAUACAGGUAAUGGUCUUGUGCAAAAUAAGUAUGAAACCAUGCUUUUGUACCUAAGUCCUUGAUUUACAAGACUCAUAUUUCCUUCUCACAGACACGUAGGAAAAGAUUUUGAAUGCCAGCAAUAUAUAAAAAAUGCAAGGAAGAAAAAUAUUGGAUGCCAUAUGAAAGAAAUAUAUUUCCAACCAUCAAGAAAAAUCAAUUUAAACAUAACCAUAAGAGAUCUGAGACAUAAUUCAGGAGGCCUGUCUUAUUACAAAGCUUUUACACCUCAGACAAUAGAGAAACUGAACCCACCGAUCAACGUCUCUGUUUCCCUUGAAAACAGAAGUAUUAAAAUUCACUGGAAACCCCCGCCUACUAUUGGUUCUGCAAGUAGCAAGUGCUUUUUGUAUCAAGUGAAAAUAACAGAUCGUAAGAUUGUAGAUGUCACUGCAGAGAAAUACGAGUGUCCAUUUCAUAAACCAGCGAAAAAAUGUGCAGUACAAGUGAGGGUAAAGAAAGAGGUAUGCAUAAGAAACAAGAUUUGGAGCGAAUGGAGUGAACCAGUGUUUAUUCACAAUGGUAAGUUAUCACGUAUUUACUAUUCAUAACCAUUAUCAUAUGUUAUUACCAUUCAAUGUAUUUACUUCAUUAUUGUGCCUGUUUU
This 1088-nucleotide long non-coding RNA is filed under the name Calidris pygmaea (Spoon-billed sandpiper). RNAcentral's name for it is "lncRNA (ENSCPGG00000006435.1)". Lineage: Eukaryota; Metazoa; Chordata; Aves; Charadriiformes; Scolopacidae. The record is from RNAcentral.